GAUGAAGAACGCAGCGAAAUGCGAUAAGUAAUGUGAAUUGCAGAAUUCAGUGAAUCAUCGAAUCUUUGAACGCACAUUGCGCCCGCCAGUAUUCUGGCGGGCAUGCCUGUUCGAGCGUCAUUUCAACCAUCAAGCCCUGCUUGCGUUGGGGUCCUGCGGCUGCCCGCAGGCCCUGAAAACCAGUGGCGGGCUCGCUAGUCACACCGAGCGCAGUAAUACAUCUCGCUUUGGGCGUGCGGCGGGUUCUUGCCGUUAAACACCCCCUUUUUACCAAGGUUGACCUCGUAUCAGGUAGGAAUACCCGCUGAACUUAAGCAUAUCAAUAAGCGGAGGA
Molecule: unclassified non-coding RNA, 334 nt
Filed under: soil metagenome
Description: partial contains 5.8S ribosomal RNA, internal transcribed spacer 2, and large subunit ribosomal RNA
Rfam family: 5.8S ribosomal RNA (bases 1-120)
Source: RNAcentral